GGACGAGGGCGACGGCACUAAGCGCUGUUCCUGCUGUACCAGCAGCACUUACGUUACGAUCGCGGGCAGAAGCAGAAGCAUCGGAACGGGGAAGGAAGGAGCCGAGAAGCAGCCGCAGGCGGACGUGGACCCUGACGCCUGCCGCACGCACGACAAGGCCAAAGUCUUUGCUCGCUGCGCCCGUGACCUCGAUCCGAUGGAUAUCCUCCUCCGUCCGCCUCCCCGUCUCGAGCCGAGACAGGGGGGGCCUGCCGCUUUGGUUAGUCCACGGUCAAAGUCCGCCUUGACCUUUGACUAGUCUAACCCUCUCUGUUUUCUGGAGUGGAGUAGUGCUAUGCUACUACUCAAAAGGGUUUCUUUAUGAAACCUGUGGCUUGUGGCCUGG
Molecule: long non-coding RNA, 385 nt
Filed under: Setaria italica (foxtail millet)
Lineage: Eukaryota; Viridiplantae; Streptophyta; Magnoliopsida; Poales; Poaceae
Description: long non-coding RNA (SITA_LNC001248)
Source: RNAcentral